This 467-nucleotide ribosomal RNA is filed under the name uncultured bacterium. RNAcentral describes it as "partial 16S ribosomal RNA". It matches the Rfam family "Bacterial small subunit ribosomal RNA", at positions 28 to 507 of the family's 1533-position model. The record is from RNAcentral.
GACGAACGCUGGCGGCGUGCUUAACACAUGCCAGUCGAACGGAAAGGCCUCUUUCGGGGGGUACUCGAGUGGCGAACGGGUGAGUAACACGUGAGUAACCUGCCCUUGACUUUGGGAUAACUUCAGGAAACUGGGGCUAAUACCGGAUAGGAGCUCCUGCUGCAUGGUGGGGGUUGGAAAGUUUCGGCGGUUGGGGAUGGACUCGCGGCUUAUCAGCUUGUUGGUGGGGUAGUGGCUUACCAAGGCUUUGACGGGUAGCCGGCCUGAGAGGGUGACCGGCAACAUUGGGACUGAGAUACGGCCCAGACUCCGACGGGAGGCAGCAGGGGGGAAUAUUGCACAAGGGGUGGAAGCCUGAUGCAGCAACGCCGUGUGCGGGAGGACGGCCUUCGGGUUGUAAACCGCUUUCGCUCAUGACGAAGCUUUGUGUGACGGUAGUGGGUAAAGAAGCACCGGCUAACUACGUG